UAGGGAAUCUUCGGCAAUGGACGAAAGUCUGACCGAGCAACGCCGCGUGAGUGAAGAAGGUUUUCGGAUCGUAAAACUCUGUUGUUAGAGAAGAACAAGGACGUUAGUAACUGAACGUCCCCUGACGGUAUCUAACCAGAAAGCCACGGCUAACUACGUGCCAGCAGCCGCGGUAAUACGUAGGUGGCAAGCGUUGUCCGGAUUUAUUGGGCGUAAAGCGAGCGCAGGCGGUUUCUUAAGUCUGAUGGGAAAGCCCCCGGCUCAACCGGGGAGGGUCAUUGGAAACUGGGAGACUGGAGUGCAGAAGAGGAGAGUGGAAUUCCAUGUGUAGCGGUGAAAUGCGUAGAUAUAUGGAGGAACACCAGUGGCGAAGGCGGCGCUCUGGUCUGUAACUGACGCUGAGGCUCGAAAGCGUGGGGAGCAAACAGG
Molecule: ribosomal RNA, 429 nt
Filed under: Gemmatimonadota bacterium
Lineage: Bacteria; Pseudomonadati; Gemmatimonadota
Description: Gemmatimonadetes bacterium partial 16S ribosomal RNA
Rfam family: Bacterial small subunit ribosomal RNA
Source: RNAcentral